Molecule: ribosomal RNA, 433 nt
Filed under: uncultured bacterium
Lineage: Bacteria
Description: partial 16S ribosomal RNA
Rfam family: Bacterial small subunit ribosomal RNA
Source: RNAcentral
AGCGAACGCUGGCGGCAUGCCUAACACAUGCAAGUCGAACGAGACCUUCGGGUCUAGUGGCGCACAGGUGCGUAACGCGUGGGAACCUGCCCUUAGGUUCGGAAUAACUCCCCGAAAGGGGUGCUAAUACCGGAUAAUGUCUUCGGACCAAAGAUUUAUCGCCUUUGGAUGGGCCCGCGUUGGAUUAGCUAGUUGGUAGGGUAAAAGCCUACCAAGGCGACGAUCCAUAGCUGGUCUGAGAGGAUGAUCAGCCACACUGGGACUGAGACACGGCCCAGACUCCUACGGGAGGCAGCAGUGGGGAAUAUUGGACAAUGGGCGAAAGCCUGAUCCAGCAAUGCCGCGUGAGUGAUGAAGGCCUUAGGGUUGUAAAGCUCUUUUACCCGGGAUGAUAAUGACAGUACCGGGAGAAUAAGCUCCGGCUAACUCCGUG